ACUUGGUCGCUGACAAGGUUAUUGUCACCACCAAGCACAAUGACGAUGAGCAGUACGUGUGGGAGUCUCAGGCUGGUGGGUCUUUCACUGUGACCAGAGAUACCACUGGAGAGAGUCUCGGCAGGGGUACUAAGAUGGUCCUUCACCUCAAGGAGGACCAAUUGGAGUACCUUGAGGAGAGGAGGCUCAAGGAUUUGGUCAAGAAGCACUCUGAGUUCAUCAGCUACCCAAUCUCUCUGUGGAUCGAGAAGACUAUUGAGAAGGAGAUUUCUGAUGACGAGGAUGAGGAAGAGAAGAAGGACGAGGAAGGCAAGGUCGAGGAGGUAGAUGAGGAGAAGGAAAAGGAGGAGAAGAAAAAGAAGAAGAUUAAGGAGGUUUCUCACGAGUGGGACUUGGUUAACAAGCAGAAGCCUAUCUGGAUGAGGAAGCCUGAGGAGAUCAACAAGGAGGAAUACGCUGCCUUCUACAAGAGUCUCAGCAACGAUUGGGAAGAGCACUUAGCCGUGAAGCACUUCUCGGUUGAAGGACAGCUCGAGUUCAAGGCUGUUCUCUUUGUUCCCAAGAGAGCUCCUUUUGAUCUCUUUGACACUAAGAAGAAGCCCAACAACAUCAAGCUCUACGUCCGUCGUGUCUUCAUCAUGGACAACUGUGAGGACAUCAUCCCAGAGUACCUUGGCUUUGUCAAAGGUAUUGUCGACUCCGAAGAUCUCCCCCUCAACAUCUCGAGAGAGACGUUGCAGCAGAACAAGAUCCUUAAGGUCAUCCGCAAGAACCUCGUGAAGAAGUGCAUGGAGCUCUUCUUUGAGAUUGCUGAGAACAAGGAGGACUAUAACAAGUUCUACGAAGCUUUCUCUAAGAAUUUGAAGCUUGGUAUCCAUGAGGACUCUCAAAACAGAACCAAGAUCGCUGAGUUGCUCCGUUACCACUCGACCAAGAGCGGUGAUGAGUUGACCAGCCUCAAGGAUUACGUGACAAGGAUGAAGGAAGGUCAGGAGGAUAUCUUCUACAUCACCGGUGAGAGCAAGAAGGCUGUGGAGAAUUCUCCAUUCCUUGAGAGGCUCAAGAAGAAAGGGUAUGAAGUCCUUUACAUGGUUGAUGCCAUCGAUGAGUAUGCCAUUGGCCAGCUCAAGGAAUUCGAGGGAAAGAAGCUCGUCUCUGCAACCAAGGGUCUGAAACUGGAAGAGUCCGAGGACGAGAAGAAGAAAAAGGAGGAGCUAAAGGAAAAGUUUGAGGGACUCUGCAAAGUGAUCAAGGACGUUCUUGGAGACAAGGUCGAGAAGGUCAUUGUCUCUGACCGUGUUGUGGACUCGCCUUGCUGUCUGGUAACAGGUGAGUACGGCUGGACUGCGAACAUGGAGAGAAUCAUGAAAGCGCAGGCCUUGAGAGACAGUAGCAUGGGAGGUUACAUGUCUUCCAAGAAGACAAUGGAGAUCAAUCCGGAGAAUGCGAUCAUGGACGAGCUGAGGAAAAGAGCUGAAGCCGACAAAAAUGACAAGUCGGUGAAAGAUCUUGUUCUCCUCCUCUUUGAGACUGCCCUUCUCACUUCAGGUUUCAGCUUAGACGAGCCCAACACCUUCGGAAGCAGAAUCCACAGGAUGUUGAAGCUGGGAUUGAGCAUUGAUGACGAUGAUGCCGUGGAAGCUGAUGCAGAGAUGCCUCCGCUUGAGGAUGAUGCCGAUGCUGAAGGUAGCAAGAUGGAGGAGGUCGACUAAAAGCCUGCCCUGUUGCUGCAGUGAAUGAUUUUUCUCUACUUAUCUGCUCUUUCUUUGGCUAAAACUAUUAUUUUCGGUGUUUUUUUUUUUCUCAAGUACUAUUAGUGGUGUAGUUUUUUUCUCUGAACUAUAACUAUUGCUGUUAAGAGACUUCGUUUCUUACAAAUCCAGAAAUUGUUAUUUUGUAUCUUGAUCUUUGCUUAAGACAACAUAGUUAAAGUAUGUUCAAGUACCUGGACUGAAGAGUGGAAAAAAUGUAGUUGCUUGUUCCGUCGUUUGGAGCAUCACUCUUUUCCUUUUAAGAGAACAUUAGUCUUCUGUGAUUUGACAGACAAGUUUGAAGACUCGUUAAAAAACUUACAGAUCUCUUUUUGUCGCAACAGUUUCAAGAUUCUUUGCAUUGCUGCUCUCUACAUAGUAGAUUCACUGGCCAUUGUUAUAGUUCUGAGUUUUUUUUUGGGGAGAACCCACAGGUUGAAGCAAACCACGGGGGUAAAAGAUCGAUCAACUUCAAAACUUUACAUAUCAUGUGGACCAGUUGUAUCUACAAAUAAGCCUGGUCAAGAUGCAAAAUCGAAAAGAAUUUUGCCUCACAACAAAGCUCAGCAAUAGAAAGAUAAAUGAGUUCAGAGAAACAAAUGAACUUCACAAGAAAGCUCAACCAGACGAAUGAACAAAAAACCCUAAAGUCUUUGAAGAUUGCUCUUUUAUCUUCAGGUAUCUUCAACCUGAGAAUGGAACACAAAGCUUGGAAACGUAGUCGUGAUAUCCCUGCAAGCACAGACACAACAAUGUCACCACCUUUAUUGAGAAGAAACCAGAGAAGCAAUUCUGUUGUAUAGAUUUCAAUAAGUCCCGGUUACAAAAACAUAAACUCACUUGAGAUAUUGAAGAGUCAUGUUCUUGAGAAGGCUAGGAUGUCUAAGAACAAGGCUUCUCCACUCUUCCUUGUCAAUCUUUCCAUCGUGUUUCGUGUCUGCUUCUUCAAACGUCUAAAACAAAUCAAAACUCAGGGAAAGUUACUCUCAACUAAAGCUAUUGUGCGAAGAUGAGAAAAGCAACUUACCUUGUCAAUUAUAUCCUCAAUGACAGUAUCCUUCAAGUUCAUUCCAGAUUCAGCAAGCGUAGCCACAACCAUUUGUUUCACCUGGACAAAACCUCAAGGUGAGGAUGAUGAUAAAGUGCAGUUUAAUAUGGUUGUUUACGAAGCUAUUUGAAUAUACCUCUUGCCGUUCUAUGAAACCUUGCUGUUUAAGAUCAUAUAGCUGAAAUGAAACUGCAACAACAACAUGUAUAAACACCAUGAGUCUGAAACCAUAUUAAUGGGGAUCUUAUUUUUUCUAAGCUAUAAAAACGUACAGUGGAUUUUGUCAUCUAUAGGUGCAUUUGGAUGGAAUACAGAGAGAGCUCGAGCAAACUCCUCAAACCCAAGUAUUCCAUUGUGCUUUGUGUCAAACAAAUCAAAAACCUACAAACCAAAUGACAUAUGCUUCUUAAGACUUGAUCUUUUGGGGAAAAAAAAAACACUUGUAGUAAAGAAAGAAAUAUUACUCGAUCAGCAAACAAGCUCUCUUUCUUAUUCGUCUUAAACAAAGCCAACUGAAACUCCUCCUGAACCAAAGUUUUAACAAGAGAUGAGUAAACUAGACUGAGAUUGUGUCAACAAAAAAUGAAUUGACCAAAAAUAUUACACAAGCUCUUUACCUUGUUUAUAAGCCCAUCAUCAAUCACAGCACUGCUGAUUUUUUUAAACAGCUCAUAAAGAGCUUCUAUCUCACUCACACUAACUGCACCACAAACCAAGUUCCUUAGAAUCAUAUCAACCGAACUAAAGAAAAAGAAAGAAUAGAGAAGCUGAUAGGCAUACAAACUGUGUCUCUAGAAAGUAAUUCAGGAUCUCCAAGGCCACCACCAGAUUGUUUAAACAAAUUGAGAUCAAAACACCCUAAAACAGAGGUGCAUAAAUGCUUAACACCGUCUAUGCACUGCGUCAUGAUUGAUACCUUAUGCAAAUCAUAACUCUCCAUGCCUGCAAAAUAAAACAAAACAGUGAGAAGAAGAAGAAGAAGUAAAGCUUAAGCGAAAACUCUACAGAAACAAAACACUGCGAUGGUCUGUAAUUUAAAAGCAGAUGAGAUGUAAAUAUGUAAUCACUUAAUAAUCUUUUCGCUGACAGAGUAGGCAUAAGAUUGAAUGUAACACACCCAACUUGGAAAAGUUAAAGAUAGGAUUAGACAAAGAUUCAUAAUAACAAAAUAAAGGCAACAAAACAUUGCUUACACACUAGAAACUGAAGUCUUGUCAUUAUUACCAGAUGUUACUUAUGGCCACAUAAUCAGAAACGAAAGGCUUGAAUGACAUCAUUGCCAAAUUAUUUAAAAGAUAAAAGAGAAUAACGAUGCAAAAGCCUAAAAAUGUUUAAUUCCCAUUACAAACCAAAUUUAUAUAUCUACUUUUCUUAAACAUUACAAUAACGGAACAUUGCUCUCUAAAUCACUCCGAUUCAACAUUACAGUAAAACGGAUUCGUGAUGGAAUCACACGUUAUGCAACUCUUAUACUAUCAACUCUUAUACUAUUCAGUAGUUGUGAACUGAAUUGGUUUUACAGAUUAAACCGAAAUCAACCGAAUAAAAAGUUACCGAUGCUUCGAUUGUAUUCCUCAAUCUCAAGGCGGCUCUUGGCGGUUGGAAGGUGGUGGAGAUUGGUAGUAAGGUGAGAGCCGAUUCUGGUGUAAGCAGAAUGGUUUAGAAGAACAAAUAUAUUUUACAAAACCUGAGAAAAUCUUUUAAACUAUUUCUAUAAAUAAAAUAAAUAAAUAAUCUUUUUAGCAUUAACUAACUUUGGUCUACAACUUUUAAAUCAAUUAAUUAUAUUGUUGAUACAGCUGUUAAGCCGCGAAUGAGUGAAGCUCCAACAACUACUUGUCACACGUCGCAUUUUGUGGAGCCUGUGUUAAAUAAUGCGCUGUAUUUAAUUAUACGACCACGUUUUACUCGGGCCUUAAUUUGCACUUUAACGUUUGGUUUUGUUUUUUUUAUUUCCGGUUAAUUUACGUUAUAGACGGUCUGAAUGGAACCUGUACCACCAGUCUCAUCAGUUGUCUUUUAACGUUUUCAUUUCACAAUACAUCAAAAUCGCAGCAAUAAUCAACAUUUAAUGAAUACUAGACUUUGGGGAUGUUUAUUUUUCUUUUUGUUUCGAAAGAAUUAUUUACUUUUAUAAUUAGUAAAUAUUUAUUUUAAUAUUUACCAUAUAACUAAUUAUAUAUUAUUAUAUUUUUAAAAAUUGUAUCGUGAGAAGGUUUGUUGGUCGAUAUUGACCAAAUGCUUGUGAUAUAGAAAAUGUUUGUUGGUUGAUAUUGAUCAAAUGGUUCAAUAUAUAAUAAUAAUUGGAGUUAUCCAUGGAAAAGGUAUUCAAAUGAUAAAAUUGUUUUUAUUCUUAGUUUUUAUGCUCAUUUUGUAAUUCGGAGAGUAAUGAACUAAUAAUAUGUUCUUUGUUGAAUUUUUAUUGACUGAAUAUAUGAUAAUUAUAUGGUUUAUGUUUGCCAAGGUUAUAAUUUUAUAGUGGAUCAGUGUAGGAUAAGAAGAUGCCAUUGUAUUUUUGGUAUGAUUCCAAAUUUAUAAGAGUUUGGAUUGCUGGAAGAGGUGAUGAAUGGUUAAGAUUUUUAAUUAAUUUUGGUUUUAGUAAUGUUAUUGAAUUUACGUUUGUUUGGUUAACUACUAUGUACGGUUUGGUUAGUUAUUUAAAUUAGAUCUAGAUGGUUUGAUUUAAGUGUUAAAUAUGGUUUAAACUAGUGGUAUAGACUUGUAAUAUUUAAGGAAAACUGAGGAUUAAUUUCAAUUUGUAUUCCAAUUUUAAUAGAUUAGACUAGAUUUUGACUCGUACCCCCGUGCGGAUAUUUAUUUUUACAGUUAUAUAUAUAUAUCAAUAUUUUAUAUAGUUUAUUGUAUUUGUUUUACAUUUAUUGGUAUUAAAUAUUUGUUUAUAUAACAUUUAUACAACAAAUUUUUUAUUUCUAUGAGUAAUUUAAUUUAAUUUAUUUAUUGAACUGUCAAUUAGAUUAGUGUUUAUAAUUUAUCUUAGUAGAUUCACAUUGGCAUAUAGUUAUAUAACAUAUGCAUGAAAUAACAUAUUUAAAUAACCAUUUUUAUCAAUAAAUUUUUUUAAAUUGAUUAUUUACAUGGAUUUGUAAAGUUUUAUUUAUUAGUAAUAAAUAUUAAGGAAUAUACUAUGAUACUAUAAAGAAUAUUGUGUUGAACAAUUAUCUCAUCUGCUUAAGGUGAAACAUAUAGCUAAUGAAAGAUUAUAAGUGAACUUAAGAAACUUUCAUUUACAUUAAUAUUUAGGGACUAUUCGUUAUUAGCUAAAAAUCAAUAGAAAUAUGAACUACAUAUAAAACAUGUUAUAAGUUAUGUUAUAUCAGAAAACUUAAGUUUAUUGGUUUAUUAUUUCAGUUAUAUAUAAAUCUAUGUGGGAUUUAUAUUAGUCUAUUUGACACAUCGUACAUUGAUCAUAGUUUUAAAUUGGGCCAAUGGGUAUGUCUCGUAGAUGUAAUUAAUAGGGCCAAUAUGAUAAGAAAUAUUAGAUUAUGUCCAAUUGGUUAUGUAAACACUAUGAGAUCAUAUAUAGUUUUUGGAAAGUUUACGUAUAAGAUUUAUAAAAGGUAUCUAAGUUAUUUUCUUUUUUACUAUCGGUUCUAUUAUUAAUUAAUGUAUACCAUAGUGUGUUUGGAAAGAAUACAUAUAUAACUGCAUUAAAAUUUGAUAUAUUUUGGUAUUUUUGGUAGAGCUAAAUUUUAGGAAACAGGGUGUUAUACAUUAACCAUGUCAUAAAUAAUAUGAAUAUUUUUAGGAAGUAAAGAAUAUUGUGACAAUUACAAUCAUAAAAUUGUGAUUUCUAGUUUUAAUUAUUAGAUUUUCUUGUGGAAACUAAAAUAUUUGGAGCCUUUUACAGUUGUGGUAGAGCUAAAUUUUAGAAAAUGAAGAGGUAUACAUUAAUCAUAUCAUAACUAUUAAGAAUACUUUAGGAAGUGAAGAAUAUUCUGAAAAUUUAAUCGUUAAAUUUUGUUUUUAUAAUAUCUCCUAUAUAUUUUGUGGAAUUUAUGAAGUUUCUGAGUAUUUUUUUUCAAAAUGUACGUUUGUUUUAAGAACCAUUGGUUAUACUAAGCAAAAUGAUAAAUUAACAUCUAUUUACUUCCAGGCGUAAAACAUAUGAUAUCUAAUAUCUAUGGUUUAAACACGAAAUAAGUAUACCCAUAAACCAAUGUUCUUGACAUGUUAACAGGUGUAUCUAAAAAACUGAAACAGAAAUCAACCACCAAUUCAAUGAAACAUUAACACAAUUUACGAAACCACCAAUUCAAUGAAAGGGUAUGAAUGGUGUUAGAUUUUUCACCCCAUUUUUUUUGGAAUGAGGACAAUAACCAACAACUCUAUUAUUUUAUUGUAUAUUAUAGAUGCAAUAAACUUAAAGUCAGGGUUAUUUAUACAGUGUGAUCAUGUCGAGAAUUGUAAUAUAUAGUCUAUAUAUAAUAUAGACAGAAGACAAAAACAAUUUGCUUGAUAAAUAUGGUAAUGCUAUAUUAGAAAGUUUAAUGAGAUACCUACAUAUAAGACAUGUUAUAUUUAACGGAAAAUGUAUAACUGGUUUGAUUAUUAUUAGGCUUUAGGUUCAUUUUAAUGUCAAUGACAGUCAUUUGUAAAUAUAUAAGAAAAGUCAGGGUUAAGUUCUAAUUGUACUUAUGUUUUAAUAGAUUAGACUAUACCUUGAUCCGCGCGACCGGGCGAGUAUUUAAUUUUUGUUUGUAUUUAAUAAUGGUUUAGCUGGUUGGAUCUGGGUCGGAGUUUCGGAUUUGUGGGAUAUUUGGCGGGAUAUUUAGGAGUCAUAUCCAUUGCUCCAACUUCAAGCAUCUAUGGUUUUUUUAUUUUCAAGCAUCUAUGUUUAGCUCUUGAGAGUACGAUAGCUUAGGGAGAUCUCGUGUAGAUCUGAUCAAAUAUGAUUAGUUUCUGGUAUGGAUGUGGAUAAUUUGCAUAUAUCUUCCAUGUAUAAUAGUAAAUGACUUAUCUUUACUGUUAGAAUUGUUACCGGUAUCAUCGUCUUGUUGCAGCCAUGUUUCUGAUGAUCAUAUCUUAAAAGUUCCAAAUUUGUAGGAUUCUCUCAUGCUUCAUGCUGAACCCGUUUGAGCAUCUUAACCUAUUUUUAAACGGCAGUACGCAAAAGUAUUCUUCAGUUUUGUCACACUGUGAAGACAUUUUAAUUUUACUAAUGAUUUCUUCUGGUGAUUUUAGUUACUAUGCCACUAAUUGAGAAUACACUGAAAAUUUUGUGACUAAUUUGAAUUAGAUUUUUUUCGAAAAAGACUAAGUUGAAUGUUUACCAGAUAUCUUUGAUGGUUCAUCCUGACAAAUGCAAGCAUCCGCAAGCACAGGAGGCUUUUGGAGGCUAGUAGUCUUGAGAAGUAUUGGUUUGUUUGGAUGAAUUUGUCAUGUUAAUAUGGGUUUUAAUAGAAUGAAACAAGAAUUACUAAACCACUGGUUUCUUGGGCUUCGUUGGUUUGAAUGAAGUGUCCCGAAACACUCUACUUCGGUCUGGCUGUUCGUUCUUGAUCGAAAUCCCACUCUGGAUCGUCUCCAAAGAUGAGGUUUAGAUGUUGAAACUACUUGUCUGCUCUGUGUGCCUCAACCUAUCUCAAGAGAGCUUUUUUUUUCAGGUUCUCCUUCUCUUCCACAUUCUGGAGCCGUGCUCUGUUGAAGUUAAACUUCUCUCAACUCCACAUGACUGGGAUUUAAUAUUGCUGUGGUUACCUACUGCUUCUCCCUCCCCUGUUUCCUCUAGAGCUCUGAUUCAACUUUGGCAUGGUACCAUUUAUGGUUUACGGACGGAAGGAAAUAAACGCUUCAAUCUUGGUCUCUCUAGGGACGAAGCAACAAUUCUGAGCAUCAUUGUACGGAUGAUCAAAAACAAAUCAACUGCCCUUAGAAAUCUAGAGUGUAGAUUUGGUGAUGAUACCGUCUCUCUUUGGUCAGGUAUCUAGCUUAAUACCUCACACUGUUUCGAGUGUCCAAUUUUUAGAAUUUCUGAAUCUUUGUGACCUCCUUCCUUCAUUCUUCUAAAGUAUCUCCCUCUCUAGCUUUCUUCUCUGUUUUUAAAUUUUCAUAUAUUUGUAUCUUUGUUUCCUUUUUAAUAUGAAAAUCAGUUUUAAAAAAGAAGUUACAACUACUGUUGAACGAUCAAGAUUGGGAUUAUACUCUCACACAAGUCCAUGCUUCGAAAUAUGAGAUUUUAAUAUUUUAUAAAUCAUCUCAUAUCCGGUAUUACCUGUUUGGAUGAGUCACUUGAGUGAUUUAAGACGCCCACUUGUGUAGAGUCUAUACUACACAUUGUGCUAGAUUAUUUAAAAGCUAUACCAGAAUCUGUAGUUUAUGUUUUAUUAUUCUUUUUCUGUCGUGACAACUUUUUUCUUCCAACUGUGAAAUGUAGAAUUUAGGACAAAAAAAGUGAAAUGCUGAAGAGCUUAAGAUGAAAAAAAAGAAACAACUAAAGAAAUACACCGUUUCAUAUUAUUUCAAAUGGCUUGCAUGAAAAUUAUUUAAACUGGCAUUUCUGUCGAUAGCAUCCCACUAUUUGACAAUGUCCCCAUGAACCCCAAUAGCAAAAUGCCCAUGAACCCCAAUAGCAAAAUGCGACGAGCAUUUUCAAUUAUACAUCACAUUGGCAAUAGAAUUUCAAAUCUGAAACCCGCGCGAAGCGCGGAAACACCACUAGUACAUGGAUAAACCCAAAAUAUAAUUACUGAAAAUAUAUUGGAAAAAAAAAUUGUGUCUAAGCGCCAAACAAAACCCUAAAACUAUUUAAUUAAUUUGGCGAUGUUAUAAUAAGUUGUAACUAAACAAAAAAAACAUCCAAAAAUGUUGUCUCCUAUUUGUAGUAUGGGGAUGACCUUGAAUUCAAAUCUAAAUUAAAGCACCUUAUUGUUGAAGUCAAACUCAUUAAGAUGCCUUGUGAACCGAACUUUAUGUCCAACAUGAAAAUCAGGUAUUCUAACUGAUCGUACACCAGUUGAACGUAUAUAUUAUUAUAUAUACCAUGAAUUUGGUAACUACAAAAUUAGUUUGGAAGCUUAUGUAGUUACCUCGUUUAGGUAAAUCACUGAGGGGGUAAAUAUGCUUUUAUUAGCAAAUAGAACUGAAAAUACAAGGCAUGAUGAGAAAUAACCAUAUGAAGUGUAAACACUAUUACUAUUACUUAUCAAAAAAAAAAAAGUGUAAACACUAUAUCAAGAUUUUUAUAAAUGUUGUGGCAUUGUGAUUUGUAUCUCCUCACAAUGUACUUUACGGUUACUGGUGAGCUCUUUCUGUACAAAACUUUUGACACUCACACAAGUAACCUACUUGCUUCAAACCAAAAAUAAAAAUAAAAACCUUUGAGAGAAGAAACCAAACAAACCAAAAACUAUAGAACUAAAAUCAGAGUCUCUUAUGAGCUCUUGUCUGCUUUAGGGUUUUGUAGUUUUUCAUCCGGAAAGAUCUUGUUUGCAGAGAGGACAACAGGAGAUGAUACGAAGCCACUGAUCUACACACUUAAGGUGAAACUUAUGUGAACAUGGAAGCUUCCUUACUUCUUCCUUGUCUUUAUACUUUGCCAAACAUAUACAACACUCCUGCAUAUCAAGAAUAAAGAAAAUCAAAACCUACUUUUUUCUAUCAUAUAUCUAUCUAAGAUUAGUAAUAUACAGCAUUUGAUGUCAGAAUACUUAGUGGAUCAGACAGAGUAAUUACAAAUGAAACCAGUUCCGGUAUAGCAUUAUUGAAUAUCUGAUUGAUUAACCAUAUAUUCAAAUUUUGCUAAACCAGGAAUGGUUUACUCUGUGAUGACUCUGUCUUAAGAAAAACCCUUAUGGGUCUGCUUUGAUAUGUGAGUCAAUUGAUUAUAACUUACAGGAUCAUCAGUUUUAGGAGGUGAACCAGAAGCGUUGUCAUCGGCUCGUUUGUGUUUCCAGCUAGGGAGACUAGAGAUUUGGUCAUCAGAUGCACCUCUGUCUGAAGAUCCCAUGUUCAUGUUGUAUCCAAGGAGACUACUAAAGAGAGGCACAAGGCAACAAAGGAAUAGGAAGAGAAGAAAGGGAAAAGAGUAGCAGAGAGCGUUCCAAGAAAGAAGAGAGACGCAGAGAACGUGAAGAUUGGGAGCAUGGUUGAAAGAACCGAAUCUAGAAUCAAACACCCAAACAUUCCCAACCACAAACCAAAUCGCAAAGAACAGCUCUAGAGACGUUCUGCACUUGUUCAUCAAAUGGGAGCUCCUGAAAGUUGCAAGAUUCAAAAUGUUAAUACAACUUCAGGAUCUUGCAAAGGUUAUAAGGUUCAAAAUCAAGAAAAUAUAAUUUACCUAGUUUCAUCUCUGCCUCUAUGUUGCUGCUCAAUAUCGACAAACCAGUUUCCUUGGUUUAGUUGGCGAAACCGACCAUAUAAUAGCAUGAGACUUAGGAGACAUCCCACGUCAUAACCUGUGAUCCAUAACCUCACUGGCCAAACAGGUCUCUCUUCUUUUGAGAUAGCUAGUGUGAGUGUUAUCACUGUAAGCUGAACAAGCAGAGCUAUAAGCUCAGACAUCAUCCACGUGCUGGAGUUAAAAGGAUUGGAGCCGAGAUCUGAUCUUGAUCCGUUUUGAUAGUGAAACACUCUUCUCAAGAAGAUAAACCAUCUAGCUCUAGAUACCCUCAUAGCAAACCUUAAGUAGAAGGAUCUCUCUUGAACAGAGGCAGGCGCAUGAGUGUUGUCACCUCGUGGUGGUGUGGUACUCAAGGAAGAAGAUGAUGAAAUUGUUAUGGAGAUAAUAUUGGAAGAUGAUUUAUCCAUUGGAAGUUUUCCAAAGCCUUCAGUAUAUAUUUAAACCUUCAAAGAAAAAAAAAGAUUGAACAUUAAAAGAAAAAAUUCAAAACUUCUGAAAGUUUAUAAGUUGUGAACACACACAUGAAACUUGGAAGUAUAUAAACGAAAAGAUCAUGGGAAAAAAACACACAAGAAAAAACACAGAAACUAAAGAAAAGGAAUCAUGAAAUUCACAUGACCUAACAAUAAUAAAAACACAUGAAAAAUCUAUAUACCUUAUUUGCAACCACCAAAAAGGCAAAACUCGGCUCCGUACACGAACUCCACGACUUCCCGAAAAGGAGGAAUCUAUUUCACAAAAGGAAAGUACCUCUAGUAGCCUAAGCUUUGAGUACAGAGAUAAGCUUUUGUCUGAAAUGAAAUAGGUUUUAUAGGGAGAAAUUGUUUCUAAUAUAGGAGAAAAGAUUGAGAAGACAGGAACAAGAGAAAAAGAUGAUUACUAAGAAAGAUUAGGAAGGUGUUGUGUUUAUGUCAGGGAAGGUGAAGUUGGGCGAGAGAUGGCGACCAAGAAUCACACCAUAACAAAAGGAUUGUUUAUAUAUUAAUUAUAAGAGACAAACUCUUUGAAGUUUGUGGUUUGUUUUGUUUGCUUACGUUUGAAGAGAAACAAAGAAAGGGAGAUGAAGAGAGGAAGAGAACCGCUGGCCUAAUCUAACACCUGAGGUUUUGUUUAUGAAGCAAUGUUUAGAUAAUUAGAUAGCAACUGCUUAUUCCAACCGCCAAGGCAGACCCUUCUCUCUCUACUCUGUUUCUCUCUCUCUAAGAUCGAGAGGAAAGGGAAAGAUAUUUUAUUUGAUUUCUUUUUGUUUUGUUUUUAUUUGUAGAAUUUUCGUUUUGGAAAAGAAAUGGAUAAGAAUUAAGAAUAUCUAGAUGAAGUCAUCAAUUCAAAAUUCACCGUAUGACAAAUCUUUUUGUUAUAACAGAAAAAUCUUUCUCACUUUUUAUUAUGUUGAUCAUUUCCCAACUAUAGUGAUAUUGAAUUUUAAUAAAAAAUAUAUAGUAUAUAAAAUUACAAAAAAAUUUUCCUCUACGUCCAUAACUUAACCUUGUAGCAGUAUGGUUCUUAUUCGAUUCAGUGAUUUUACAUAUGUAAUUAUAUUAAAUCAGAUAUACAUAUAUAUAUAUAUAUAUAUAUACUUUUAUUUAGAAAUUAAAUAAAUAAAUGAUGCUUAAGAUUACUAAUUUUGACAACAAGAUUGUAUAAUUUGGCGGGAGGAAAUGGGGAAGGAGUUGGGGAUGGUUGGCUAACUAAUCUCAACCAGAAGAGUUUCUAUCAAUUAUCAUUUACGUUGUGGAGUGGAGCCCAAUUCCUCACUUUCUUUCAGUUUCCACGUUGUCUUUUGUCCCAUUAUUAUUUUUAUUUUUUCAAAAAGGCUUUUGCCCCAUUAUUGAUUUUUAUUUGUCUUUUUUUUUUUUUUGACUAUUGAGUUUUACUAGGGACAUUGCCUCUUGCGCGGAGUUGUGGACAGAGUUCGUGUUUCAUCUCGAUAUUUGUUAGGGUUAUUGUAGCUGUGAAUUUUGCGUUUUGGGUUGAUCAUUGUUUUUCAAGUUUUUUAUUGUUAUAGGGUUAGAGUUGUGAUGAUGAACUAUGCAUGCACUGUUCUCCACUCAUGAAGGACUAAACUGUGUUAGUAAUGUGAUUGAUAUAGUUCGUAGUGUUACUUGUUGUGUCACUGAGACUUAUUGUUUGUUUGUCUUUUUAAUUUGUUACUUGUACUGUUGAUUACAUAAAUUAUAUUAAGAGUGUUGAGAGUACUUUUUGUUUCUGGAUAUUUUUUCUCCAGUUUAGUUGUGUAAGUUGUGUGUAUUAAGUAAUAAUUUUUUUAUUUUUAUUAUGUUGGUUAUAUGUUUUAUUUUAUUUUUAAACUUGUUACUUUUACCGGACCUUUAAAACAAAUACAUAAAAACUUUUAAAAAUAAUUAUAAAAUGAGUGACAAUUAGUAUUUGGGCCUUAAAACGAAUAUAUGUAUUUAUCAUAAGAAGACAAUAGCAUUGGUCUGUUGACAUUGAGCAUGUAAGCUAUUUUCAUAAGACAAGAGGAGUGAGCAGGUGGAGAUGUUGUUGCCGCUUUUGUAUAUGUUGGGAUUGUCUAUUGUAUCGGUUGGUGUGGAUGUGUUUUGUUUCUCUUUAAUUUGAUGGGUAAUAUGUAAACAAAAAUUAUUGUUAGUUGUAUUUAUCAGAGUUUGUAACCUACUCUGUUUUUUUGUUUAGUAAUUUCACUGAUCUUGGUUGUCGUCUUCGUCUUCUUCCUAAGCAUCUGUGAAAGUAAGUUUGUAAAUUGUUAAAUAGCUCGCCCUAUAGUUUGUAUUUGUUUAGCUGGCUCAAUAUAUGUGUCGUUGAGUUUUAGUUGAGUUGAUUGGUUUGGUAUAUUUGUUUUGAAGUUUAUUUGUUAGAUUAGACAAAAAAGAGGGGUAUCAUUAAUGAUUCGUCUUUUUUGGGAUUCUAAAAUUGUUGCAAACUUGAGCUUUUUUUCAUAUAACGUGAUGAAACUCAUUUAAAAAUGAAACCCAUAACACACUUGUAGGCCCGACUCUUAGACGAAGCCGAAGAAGUAAGGGCUUUCGACCUUCAUAAAUAUAUAUUAGGUUCGACCAUCAAUGUACAAAGUAUCAUUUAGCUUAGUGGUAUAAAUGUUAGUGUUUAUAUCUCAAUAACUCUGGUUCGAGCCAUGAACUUGACAUUUUUCACACUUUUUAAAAGUUGAGCCCACAAAACGCUGACGUGGCGCGCUGAGGAGUGAGCAAAAACUCAACUAUUAUAAUAUAGAUUUUUCAGAUGAUAGUUGUGAAAAAGCAUAUGAUUAAAAAUGAAUAAAAGCGAAUAAAUUUUGAAUGAAAUAACAAAUUAAUAUUCUAGAACUUUCGCAAAGUUUUAAAGUCAAUUAUGUGAACUAAGGGCGGUUCCCGCGCAAGCGCGGGGUCGGGGACAUAGGUUUUUUUGAGUGAAUAGUUGUGGUAUUCCGGAUGUAAUACGAAGCUUGAUUUAUAAAACUUGACAUGUACCGGUUAUGACUCUCGUUGUGCUUGCUCGUGUGAAUUUAUGACCGCAAACCUUAAAUGUAUGAUUAUUGAGAAUGAGUUGGAGUGAUUGAGUGCGCGUGACCAUUUCACCAUAGCGCAUGUGGAGUUCAAGCGUUGUGGGAUUAAUAAUACUUGAACUUUUGUGUGAGUACUAAAAAUGUUAUGUUGGUUUGGUUCAAUUUUUCCUUCAGUUGAAUUGUUUUUGUGAGAAAUGGCAUUGGCGGAGCUUCUGCUGAUACCAUAGUAAAUAAGUAUUUAGCAUUAGAUAGAUCAAUAUACACAAAUUAGAUGCAUUUAUGUGCUAAUACUACUCAUUUACUUAGACCACAUAUAAGGAUCAAGAAAUUUUAUACAGCUUCCGAAUCUUUCCGUUUAUAUAUUGAUUCCAUGAAGGGAAUCCUAAAUCGUAGUAUGUAUUUAGUUGUGACUCCAACUAAAGUGUGCGUUUGGAACCAUUAUUUUUACUAAACCAUUUGCAUAGUUUUGUUUUAAUCUAGUCACAUUUGUAACUGCCCCACCAGUGUUUUUUUAAAGUUACAUAUGGAUUUGUAUGCAUGAGAUAAACGAAGGGCACAUAAAUGGACAGCAAAUAAGAGAUAAUACUCGCCAAUGUUCCCCAUACUUUAAUUAAAAAGUACAUGUUAAACCAGUGAGUGAUAGUUUGCAGAUAAUUGAAAAGAAAACGAAAACUCAGAAAUCCGAAAUACAUAGCAAUUUAGUAAAUUGAAAACGCAGGAAAGCUAAGUGGGUUGACGGUUUUGUGUACUUGUACCAAUCACUCACGGGGUCAGCUUCCGAUUCUUCUUUUUCUCAGAAGGUAGAUUCGCGUCAUCAACUUCCUUUGCCUUGCCGGAAAGACCACCAAUGUCGGUAGCAGAUGACGGUGCUUGUCCUGUGUGGACAUCUCCCCCUGGAGCCCUUUCAGCCUCGGGUCUCUUUUAGGCAAAUAAACGUUUCAGUUUUGUGUCUAACGUUAUUAAAUUAAAUAUAUAAGUAAGAGGAAACAACCUCGGUCAGAGGGUCAAGCAAGACACAGUGAAGGUACGGUGGUUGGAGGUGAAGUUGAAGGGAGUGACACUUAUGUGCAAAACAUAUUAAUUCCCAGCUAGUUCUUCAAGGCAUCAAGGUAGCUCUGGACCUCCAACACUGUUAAUCUGUUUUUGGCUAAAGAUCGGUGCGUUGGAUAGAGUUGUAAUUAAAAUUUGAAAACCGUAUAUGAAUGGCUUUUUAUCGUAGAGCCCAAACCUCCUCAAGAGCUAGUGUUGCUGCUUCCAUUUUGGUGAGUUUAGACAUCUCGAUAUCAAAGAACACAAACGUUUGCAUUGUCUUUGCCAUCUUCAACGGCGAGCUCUACACGAAACCUGCAUAAAGUAGCAUUAAGGUGUUAUGAUCAUUUACAAUCUUGAGUUUACUUUUCGACAUGGGCGAGUCUUUCUAGUUCUUACUUUUGGACAUGGACAUGGGUGAAACACAUGAGGUGCCAUAUUUGUCCAGCUUCUUGCUGCAACCGGUGCAAGAGACAUAAGCCCAACCAUUCUGUUGGAGGACGCCGACAAUCCUAGCUUUGUAGAGGAAAUCAGCUUCCUGGCUCUUUACAACAAAAAUAGACGUAGCAUUAGAAGAAUAAAUUUAGUAACACAUUGAGAAUGUGAUUUUACAAAAAUGAAAUUAAAUAGCUAUACUAACCUGGGCGUCGGAGUUGGACAGGUAGGUAUGAAGAUCACCAAUUGUCACAAGUUCUUUCUUUCUAAUACCUCCCAUGGUUUCUACCCGUUUAAAAACCUCUCCUGCUGCACCUCCCAAGCUAGUUGGUGAACAAUUGUGUAACAAAAAGCAUUAUAGAAGAUAAAUACAUAAUAAGGGGUAAAUGUUAAAGGAAGCAUUUUAAAUUUUUUUUUCCAAAGCUCUCUAGACGGACCUCUCUGUGAAUGCUUUAAUGGCGGGGAUGGUGGUGUCAAAGUAGAACUUGGUGGCCGGAGUGGAGUUCAGAUAUAGUUACCUUGAAAAGAGCAAGUAUGUUUUAGUUUAGGUUACAAAUGAGUGAUACGUAUUGAAAUGACUAUACCUUUGAGCAGCAGAUUUAGCAUAAAUAUAUAUUCUAGACAAAGUUACAUCAGCUGCGUUCAAAUGUCACAAACAGACAUAAGGGUUUUUGGUAAUUAUAAUUUUACACUCUAGAUCAAGAAACUCCUAAGUAAAUCAUUAAUCUAAGAGACUAGAUGUACAUACAUGUUCAUCUUUUCAUCUAGGAAGAGUAUGGUGCUACCCAUGAACUCGCCAUUCUUAUUGAUAUUGCGGGAAUCCCAAAAGCAUAAGAGACGGCCGACAACGACUUGAGUAGACCAACAAAGGCGGAGAUCGUAGAAAGUAGCGUGGGGACCGGCUGAUUGAGCACCAAAAACAGCAAAGGAAGACAUUUUCACGUCUGUAGUAUAAGCCAUUGUGGAUGACGAAAGCAGGGAUGGGAGUUGCGAUGUUUAAUCCCGGUCUCGAGGAUCGACUUUAUAUAGAGAGGAUCGGCUUUAUAUAGAGAGGGCUAUGGCUGACGUUUUGAAACAGGGGAGUUAUUAAGGGUAUCAUAAGGAAGAUGGAUACCGAUUAACGUAUCUUAAAGGAAGGGGGGGGGGAGGGCGGAGACGCAACCAUCUCGUCGAAAGGAAAAAUGGUUUUGGAAACCCUAUAUCAGAGCGGACAAUGCCUUGAGCGUCUUUUUAAUGAGCUAAAGAUUACCAUCGUAAAUCAAACUUAUGGCCCAGAAACAACCUCAUAUGAUUUCUUAAGUUAAUAAGUACAUAGUGCCCACAUAUAAUAAGAAGCAUCUGAAGUUGGGCCGGAAUGGAGUAAGUUUGGGCCGGAACUUGAAAUUGAUUUGUGACCCAGCCCGUAGUGACAUGGCAUAUUGAUUGGUGGGAAAUAUUUCUGCCCAUGUGGCACCCUUCGGAAACUCCAAAAAUAGUUCAUUUUAUAUAGUAGUAUAUGUUGAAACCUAGAGUAUUCAAAACAGAAUUUAGAUCUGCAUCUGUGAAAAUUAUAAAAGCGCUUUAGAACUAGUAUUCUGGUUUUUUAGCCAAAAAAAAAAAAAAACCUAGUAUUCUGGUUCCGUUGGUCAAUCAUUCAAAUAUGUUGAAUUUCUUACAUUGUAUUUUGACACCAAUUCACAUAUACAAGUUGAAGUUUCCGAGAUUGGAAAUAGUGUAAAAGCUAAAUGACUAUGCAUGGUAUAUCUCUAAAAAUAGUAAGUACUAACAGUUGACACUGACAGCACAAGAUCCAAAAUGAUUUUUUUUUUUAAUCUAAACGACAAGCAGUUUUAAUUGUUAUCUAUAGUAACCUUCAAGGAACUACGAUUCUAGAUCCGUCUUAUCGACUCAUUGCACUUUGUAAAUUUAAAACUAAAUACUUCUAAACUCUUUGAUUUACACGUCGAAUGAGGAUAAUUUAAUUUAAUCAUCAUUCCAUAAGGUUUAAUCGAAUUUGAAAGCUUGGAACAUAAAUCAUGUUUCUCUCCGUGCAUCGUCGACCAUAUAUAUAUAUAUAUAUAUAUAUAUAUGUCGGUCUCGUCGACAAUUCGUCGACCAAUGGAGACUUGUAACAUCAUGAUUACUUUAGCAUGCGAAUAUUUCAUGCACAUUGACCAAUUAUUAUAUUAUUUUUGUAAGAAAAAAAUAAACUCCAAGGCAACAUCAAAGCAUAACACGUGGCUUCACACGAACACACAGACACGUGGAUAAAAUAUCGUUGGCUAAGUUGAAAGCUCAUUUAUCCAGUUAUGAUUUAAGGUUAGUGCAUAUAACACCACAAUAUAGGGUUUGAGUGAGUUUUGAGUUAAGGUUAGUGCAUAUAACACCACAAACUUAAGAUCUUAUCACACCAAAAUCACUAGUGCCUCGUAAAAACAGGGAUCUGAAGAAUAAAACCGAUCCAAAAAGUUAUACCAAACUUUAAAUGAAACUGAUAAAAUAUAUGAAUGGAUUAAAAAUUUUAAUAUAUGAAAAAACUGGAAACAGAACCAAACUGAAAUAUUCCAGACACAUAAAAAUAAACGAUCAACAAUUAUAUGAUUAAAUAUAUUAAUUAUUUUUAAUAUAAUAUCUUGAAAUAUUCGGAAUUAUCAAACACUUGGAAAAAUAUCUAAAAUUUGAAGAAGAAAAACUGACAUUGAAGUAAACUACAGCUAAAUAUGUAUGACCCAGAAUUAUUGGGCCCAAAUUAAUUAUAUGGGUCAAACUGGGCCCAAGUUGUUUAAAAUUGACACAUUAGCGUAAUGGAUCUCUCACAGAGAAGGAUCUAGAAUUUCUGUAUUAUGUGGGUAUAUAUACACACAACUACUUCCCUCAUGACUUAUAUCUUCGACUACUUUGGCUGCUCUCUCUCUCGCCUUGAUAAACCCUAGAUCUCCCCCGAUAAGCAGCAACAAUGGCCGACGCCGAGACUUUCGCUUUCCAGGCCGAGAUCAACCAGUUGCUUUCCCUCAUCAUCAACACCUUCUACAGCAACAAGGAGAUCUUCCUUCGUGAGCUCAUCAGCAACUCCUCCGAUGUAAGUCUCUCUAUUGCUUUCUCCUGGAUCGAUCUGUAGAUUAGGUUUGAUUAGUGUUGUUGUUGUAUCCGAUUUGAAAAUUGAAGUAGGGAGCUCUAUGAUAUUCAAACCGGUCUUCUUAGAUUUAGUUUUGCUACCAUGGUUAAGCAUUAGGUGUUAAGCUUGGAUGAAUUUUGUUUUCGUCUUUUAUGAGAUAAACGGAUCUUCAAUCUAUAUGCAUUCGGUUUGUUUGUAUACGUUCUCUGUUUUUAUUACUUAAUAGUUCGGAUCUUACUCUGGUGACUUAGUUUUUGAUUGAUUUUACGAGAUAGGUUGAGUUUCGUUCGUUGCGUUUGUAUACGUUCUUGCGUUUGUUACUUAAUGGUUUUGAACUUGUGAAACAGGCCUUGGACAAGAUUAGGUUCGAGUCCUUGACUGACAAGAGCAAGCUCGAUGGCCAGCCUGAGCUAUUCAUUCACAUCAUCCCUGACAAGACGAACAACACCUUGACCAUCGUCGAUAGUGGUAUUGGUAUGACCAAGGCUGAUUUGGUCAACAACCUUGGAACCAUUGCGAGGUCUGGCACCAAAGAGUUUAUGGAGGCUUUGGCUGCUGGAGCUGAUGUUAGCAUGAUUGGGCAGUUUGGUGUUGGUUUCUACUCUGCUUACUUGGUUGCUGACAAGGUUAUUGUCACCACCAAGCACAACGAUGACGAGCAGUACGUGUGGGAGUCUCAGGCUGGUGGGUCUUUCACUGUGACCAGAGAUACCUCUGGAGAGAGUCUUGGCCGGGGGGCUCAGAUGGUCCUUCACCUCAAGGAGGACCAGUUGGAGUACCUUGAGGAGAGGAGGCUUAAGGAUUUGGUCAAGAAGCACUCCGAGUUCAUUAGCUACCCAAUUUCCCUGUGGAUUGAGAAGACCAUUGAGAAGGAGAUUAGUGAUGACGAGGACGAGGAAGAGAAGAAGGACGAGGAAGGAAAGGUUGAGGAGGUCGAUGAGGAGAAAGAAAAGGAGGAGAAGAAAAAGAAGAAGAUUAAGGAGGUUUCUCACGAGUGGGACUUGGUGAACAAGCAGAAGCCUAUCUGGAUGAGGAAGCCUGAGGAGAUCAACAAGGAGGAAUACGCUGCCUUCUACAAGAGUCUCAGCAAUGACUGGGAAGAGCACUUGGCCGUGAAGCACUUCUCGGUUGAAGGACAGCUCGAGUUCAAGGCUGUUCUCUUCGUUCCCAAGAGAGCUCCUUUUGAUCUCUUUGACACUAAGAAGAAGCCCAACAACAUCAAGCUCUACGUCCGUCGUGUCUUCAUCAUGGACAACUGUGAGGACAUCAUCCCAGAGUACCUUGGCUUUGUCAAAGGUAUUGUGGACUCUGAAGAUCUUCCUCUCAACAUCUCAAGAGAGACGUUGCAGCAAAACAAGAUCCUUAAGGUCAUCCGCAAGAAC
RNAcentral lists this long non-coding RNA (20579 nucleotides) under Brassica napus (rape). RNAcentral describes it as "long non-coding RNA (BNAP_LNC012822)". The record is from RNAcentral. Lineage: Eukaryota; Viridiplantae; Streptophyta; Magnoliopsida; Brassicales; Brassicaceae.